This 253-nucleotide ribosomal RNA is filed under the name uncultured bacterium. Its description in RNAcentral is "partial 16S ribosomal RNA". It matches the Rfam family "Bacterial small subunit ribosomal RNA", at positions 524 to 776 of the family's 1533-position model. The record is from RNAcentral.
GACAGAGGGGCCGAGCGUUAGGCGGAAUCACUGGGCUUAAAGCGUGUGUAGGCGGACUCGUAAGUGGUUUGUGAAAUCCCAUGGCUCAACCAUGGAACUGCUUGGCAUACUGCGAGCCUUGAGCCACUUAGGGGCAACCGGAACACACGGUGGAGCGGUGAAAUGCGUAGAUAUCGUUUGGAACGCCAAUGGUGAAAACAGGUUGCUGGGAGUGCGCUGACGCUGAGACACGAAAGCCAGGGGAGCAAACGGG